CUUGACAUCCAGAGAACUAGCAGAGAGGCUUUGGUGCUUUCGGGAACUCUGAGACAGGUGCUGCAUGGCUGUCGUCAGCUCGUGUUGUGAAAUGUUGGGUUAAGUCCCGCAACGUAGCGCAACCCUUAUCCUUUGUUGCCAGCGGUUCGGCCGGGAACUCNAAGGAGACUGCCAGUGAUAAUACUGGAGGAAGGUGGGGAUGUACGUCAAGUCAUCAUGGCCCUUACGAGUAGGGCUACACACGUGCUACAAUGGCGCAUACAAAGAGAAGCGACCUCGCGAGAGCAAGCGGACCUCAUAAAGUGCGUCGUAGUCCGGAUUGGAGUCUGCAACUCGACUCCAUGAAGUCAGAAUCGCUAGUAAUCGUAGAUCAGAAUGCUACGGUGAAUACGUUCCCGGGCCUUGUACACACCGCCCGUCACACCAUGGGAGUGGGUUGCAAAAGAAGUAGGUAGCUUAACCUUCGGGAGGGCGCUUACCACUUUGUGAUUCAUGACUGGGGUGAAGUCGUAACAAGUAACCGUAGGGGAACGUGGCGGUUGGAUCACCUCCUUACAACAGAUGAUUCGCGAGACC
RNAcentral lists this ribosomal RNA (576 nucleotides) under uncultured bacterium. RNAcentral's name for it is "bacterial SSU rRNA". It matches the Rfam family "Bacterial small subunit ribosomal RNA", at positions 980 to 1533 of the family's 1533-position model. The record is from RNAcentral.